UGGGGAAUAUUGGACAAUGGGGGCAACCCUGAUCCAGCAAUGCCGCGUGUGUGAAGAAGGUCUUCGGAUUGUAAAGCACUUUCGACGGGGACGAUGAUGACGGUACCCGUAGAAGAAGCCCCGGCUAACUUCGUGCCAGCAGCCGCGGUAAUACGAAGGGGGCUAGCGUUGCUCGGAAUGACUGGGCGUAAAGGGCGUGUAGGCGGUUUACACAGUCAGAUGUGAAAUCCCCGGGCUUAACCUGGGAGCUGCAUUUGAUACGUGUAGACUAGAGUGUGAGAGAGGGUUGUGGAAUUCCCAGUGUAGAGGUGAAAUUCGUAGAUAUUGGGAAGAACACCGGUGGCGAAGGCGGCAACCUGGCUCAUGACUGACGCUGAGGCGCGAAAGCGUGGGGAGCAAACAGGUUAGAUACCCUGGUAGUCCACGCUGUAAAACG
RNAcentral lists this ribosomal RNA (436 nucleotides) under uncultured bacterium. RNAcentral describes it as "partial 16S ribosomal RNA". It matches the Rfam family "Bacterial small subunit ribosomal RNA", at positions 355 to 809 of the family's 1533-position model. The record is from RNAcentral.